GGCCAACAGCACACUGAGUUGUUUUAACAGGAGUGUCACUUGCAAAUCAAGGGAAGUGAUUUUUCCACCUUAUUCAGUACUGGCGAUAGGUCUCCUGGUCGUAAUCGGAAAUAAGAUUGGUCAAACAAGACCUAACCGCCACAAACCCAUGCUGGCUAUCCCUCAGGAUGCUGCCAUCAGCCAGUCUGUUAAGAAUGGUGGAGGAAGUAGUCCCAGAGUCUGCAGGCAAUGGCGUAGACAGAUUUAUGAAGUGAAGUGAAGUUUGUAGGCUUGUCUACAAAAGGUGUUUCAUAAAUUCCCUUUGACGAUUAGAACUGAGAAAUUGGAGAGAGAGAGGUUGUCUUGUGAGAAGUGUGCACCCACAGGACUCCCAGUCCAACAAAGACCAGUUCCCAAGAAGCAACACUGCAUCAAGGAAUGAUUCUUGUCAGAAUCUUGGAAGAUCUGUUUUUCCUGUAGCUCCUUCUCUUACAGCCACUGCCUUUGCCGGAACAUUGCCUAACAUGACAGCACCAUAGCCUGUCUUCCCAAGACUAGCCAUUUGUUCACACGUAUUGAGAAAAAGCCUGGAAGUGUAUGUAUAACAAUGCCACCUGAUAAUGCCUGCUUUUGACUGAAGAACACACUUUGAAACGUAUUUCAUAUACAUCUGAAAAAUUAUAUGAUUAAAACAUUUUUUAAAUAUCAAUGAAACAUGCAACUGAAAACCAACCCGUUUCUUUCCCCUAUCAGUGUCUUCUAUGUUUAGCCCCA
Long non-coding RNA from Alligator mississippiensis (American alligator), 753 nucleotides. RefSeq lists it as uncharacterized. NCBI's taxonomy places the organism in Eukaryota, Metazoa, Chordata, Crocodylia, Alligatoridae. The transcript has 4 exons. The record is from RefSeq and is a predicted model, not a curated record.